Long non-coding RNA from Acanthopagrus latus (yellowfin seabream), 491 nucleotides. RefSeq lists it as uncharacterized. NCBI's taxonomy places the organism in Eukaryota, Metazoa, Chordata, Actinopteri, Spariformes, Sparidae. The record is from RefSeq and is a predicted model, not a curated record. The transcript is spliced from 4 exons.
CACCCUGUCAGUAUGUAUAUAUGUAUGUGCACCUUCAUGUGUAGUAAGAUCAUGUACCUACAAUACACACCUACACAAACUGAGCCUGUAGAGACAAACCAUCAGUCUGACGGGGCUGUGCAGCUUCCUCAUGCCUUCAGCAUUUUAUUCACACAGGCAGGAUUCCAGGAGCCGGCGUGGAGGAAAAACAGCAGAUGGACGCUGGAGGUUUCUGCAGAUGUGGUGACUGUAAGGAACGGAAUGAUCCAGCAGUGAAGUGGUGGAUGGAGCAGGUUAAUAUGGCCAGACGAUCGAUGAUGAUGAUGAUGAUGAUGAUGAUGAUGAUGCCACGCCCACAGACAAGGAAAGGAGCAGCAGGAAGACAUGUGGUCCUGGAGCCAGAAGACUGAUGCAUUUCACCAUCUCCUCAUUAACCUCCUCAUGAGACAGAGUUGAGUCAAACAGACCAGGAGUGUCGACCACAACGACUGGACGACCGUUUACUACAGUCU